Long non-coding RNA from Mercenaria mercenaria, 439 nucleotides. RefSeq lists it as uncharacterized. The transcript has 3 exons. NCBI's taxonomy places the organism in Eukaryota, Metazoa, Mollusca, Bivalvia, Venerida, Veneridae. The record is from RefSeq and is a predicted model, not a curated record.
UUGCAGUUACAUGUAUUGUAUUAAUAUACUUCAUAUUUAUUAACUUAACAUUUAUGUACCUUAUUAGACAUUAUAUAGUGAAACAUUUCUUUUGUAUGGUAGAUCAUGCUGCAGUGAGAAACCAAGAAAUUCCUAUUGUUGUGUGCAUACUUAAGUGUCAUGGAAAAAGGAUAUGGAAAAUACAGGGAUGAGGAUGUGGUACAUUGAAGUUGCAGGAAAGCAAGCUGGAAGCUAUAUACCCAGAAUUCGAAGAGAAUAGGGGCUGUACAUCUGUGAAGGGUAUUGUUAUGAGAUGUAGGGAGUUGCUCAACAGAUUGAAUUGUUAAUGAUGUUAAUUGAAAUGUAUGCAGUCCAACUGUAAUGGUAAUGAGAUGCGGGUCUUUGUCCUACAUGAUGAGUAAAACAGUGUAUGGCAGUUUUGGAAAACAUGUAAUAAGUA